Molecule: unclassified non-coding RNA, 335 nt
Filed under: soil metagenome
Description: partial contains 5.8S ribosomal RNA, internal transcribed spacer 2, and large subunit ribosomal RNA
Rfam family: 5.8S ribosomal RNA (bases 1-120)
Source: RNAcentral
GAUGAAGAACGCAGCGAAAUGCGAUAAGUAAUGUGAAUUGCAGAAUUCAGUGAAUCAUCGAAUCUUUGAACGCACAUUGCGCCCGCCAGUAUUCUGGCGGGCAUGCCUGUUCGAGCGUCAUUUCAACCAUCAAGCCCCCGGCUUGUGUUGGGGACCUGCGGCUGCCGCAGGCCCUGAAAACCAGUGGCGGGCUCGCUAGUCACUCCGAGCGUAGUAAUACAUCUCGCUCAGGGCGUGCUGCGGGUUCCGGCCGUUAAAAAGCCUUAUUUACCCAAGGUUGACCUCGGAUCAGGUAGGGAUACCCGCUGAACUUAAGCAUAUCAAUAAGCGGAGGA